UGGGUUGUGGCUCAGUGAUAGAGCGCUUGCCUCUCAUGUGAGAGACCCUGGGUUCGAUCCUCAGCACCAUAU
Molecule: transfer RNA, 72 nt
Filed under: Marmota monax (woodchuck)
Lineage: Eukaryota; Metazoa; Chordata; Mammalia; Rodentia; Sciuridae
Rfam family: tRNA
About the family: Transfer RNA (tRNA) molecules are approximately 80 nucleotides in length. Their secondary structure includes four short double-helical elements and three loops (D, anti-codon, and T loops). Further hydrogen bonds mediate the characteristic L-shaped molecular structure. tRNAs have two regions of fundamental functional importance: the anti-codon, which is responsible for specific mRNA codon recognition, and the 3' end, to which the tRNAs corresponding amino acid is attached (by aminoacyl-tRNA synthetases). tRNAs cope with the degeneracy of the genetic code in two manners: having more than one tRNA (with a specific anti-codon) for a particular amino acid; and 'wobble' base-pairing, i.e. permitting non-standard base-pairing at the 3rd anti-codon position.
Source: Rfam by way of RNAcentral